RNAcentral lists this ribosomal RNA (468 nucleotides) under uncultured bacterium. Its description in RNAcentral is "partial 16S ribosomal RNA". It matches the Rfam family "Bacterial small subunit ribosomal RNA", at positions 28 to 507 of the family's 1533-position model. The record is from RNAcentral.
GACGAACGCUGGCGGCGUGCUUAACACAUGCAAGUCGAACGGAAAGGCCCUGCUUUUGUGGGGUGCUCGAGUGGCGAACGGGUGAGUAACACGUGAGUAACCUGCCCUUGACUUUGGGAUAACUACAGGAAACUGGGGCUAAUACCGGAUAGGAGCUCCUGCUGCAUGGUGGGGGUUGGAAAGUUUCGGCGGUUGGGGAUGGACUCGCGGCUUAUCAGCUUGUUGGUGGGGUAGUGGCUUACCAAGGCUUUGACGGGUAGCCGGCCUGAGAGGGUGACCGGCCACAUUGGGACUGAGGUACGGCCCAGACUCCUACGGGAGGCAGCAGUGGGGAAUAUUGCACAAUGGGCGGAAGCCUGAUGCAGCAACGCCGCGUGCGGGAUGACGGCCUUCGGGUUGUAAACCGCUUUCGCCUGUGACGAAGCGUGAGUGACGGUAAUGGGUAAAGAAGCACCGGCUAACUACGUG